RNAcentral lists this ribosomal RNA (497 nucleotides) under uncultured bacterium. RNAcentral's name for it is "partial 16S ribosomal RNA". It matches the Rfam family "Bacterial small subunit ribosomal RNA", at positions 28 to 507 of the family's 1533-position model. The record is from RNAcentral.
GAUGAACGCUGGCGGCGUGCCUAAUACAUGCAAGUCGAGCGAACAGACGAGGAGCUUGCUCCUCUGACGUUAGCGGCGGACGGGUGAGUAACACGUGGAUAACCUACCUAUAAGACUGGGAUAACUUCGGGAAACCGGAGCUAAUACCGGAUAAUAUGUUGAACCGCAUGGUUCAACAGUGAAAGACGGUCUUGCUGUCACUUAUAGAUGGAUCCGCGCCGCAUUAGCUAGUUGGUAAGGUAACGGCUUACCAAGGCAACGAUGCGUAGCCGACCUGAGAGGGUGAUCGGCCACACUGGAACUGAGACACGGUCCAGACUCCUACGGGAGGCAGCAGUAGGGAAUCUUCCGCAAUGGGCGAAAGCCUGACGGAGCAACGCCGCGUGAGUGAAGAAGGUCUUCGGAUCGUAAAACUCUGUUAUUAGGGAAGAACAAAUGUGUAAGUAACUAUGCACGUCUUGACGGUACCUAAUCAGAAAGCCACGGCUAACUACGUG